UAGGGAAUGUAAACAUGUUUUAUUGUCAAAGGAUGUCAUUUCAUCAAAUUCUCCAUCUUUACAUAGCUCCCACAAAAGCUAUACAAAAAACCGCGUUCUUGGAAAGGUAUAGAUACUGAAAGAGAAAACCAUCACAUUUUAAAAAUGUAAUUCCUUGUAAAUGAUGAAUUAUCGUGUACACUGGACUAUAAAUCCGUACGGUUUUCCUCACCGCUUCUUAUAUAACUUGAUUCGCAAUACUGAAAACUUACUAACCCACUAGAAUCAGACCUUAGAACUGCAGAAAAUCACCUAAACAUGCGUCAACACUUAGGGACCCGGGUCCAGCUUUCCAGGACAAUAAUCGCGUCCGCCGGGCGGGCUCUGGCCGCCGCGCAGGCCAGCGGUCCUAGCCCGAGCCCCAGCGCGAGCGCGACCCGACCGCGGGACCGGAAGCCGCGCUCCCGGCAGCCCCCCUACGCGGGGCGGGGCGAGGGCGCGCGGCCCAGAAAGCAGGCCCGCGUUCACGGAGAACGACGGAAGCCCGAGCGCCGUCCCCGGCCUCCCUCAGCCCUGCCCCCGCGGCCCGGCCCCUUCUCAGCCCUCUGCACGGGUGGUGACUCACUGCUCUCCAGUUCAGUGUGAGGACAAGUCCCACGGUGCUGACUGCCUGAUGCUCCUGGAGGACAUUCCUAACCCACCACUCACCACAUUAUUAGAAAUCCAACUCGAAAUCGCUAAUCCCCAAAUAGCCUCUAUUCUCUCCACUGCUGGCUUCGUUGCUUUGAUUUUAUGCACAGUAGUUCUCAACUCAAGGCCAAAAAUUCUACCCCAUGCUGCGCCACUUUCAAAGGAGAACCAAUAUGCUAGGACUGGAGGGGGAUUUGAAUAACAGCUAAUUGUCAGUUUGUCUAGUGAAAAAGCUUCCUUUCUCCCGUGCGCAGGCUGGUUAUUUGUUAAAGUUUGCUGGGGUUUUCGAGCUCCUCCUGGCUAGGGGCAGCUCAGACUCAGCAGUUUUAAUUGUUGCUCGGGUCAAAGGCUGAUGAUAGUCUUUCCUCUCUUCAUGGGAGGGUCUGAGAGUUCACAGGAAGGGCUGUGCAGGCCCUGUGCUGGGAUGGGAAGAAGCAGUGAGGGCUGCAAAGAGCUCAAGGCACAGCAAGCCCAACUUUUUAACGGCCCCUUGACCCAGACAGACCAUUGAAGUCAUGCACUCUGCCUAUGGCUUCACCUGAAGUGAGUGUGUGCUUUAUCCUUUCCGAGGGGUGCUGUCUUCUCAUGCUGAACAUAGUCCAGACUCAACUAUUAACGUGCUUCUUUCCAAACUGGAAUAUGGAAAAAGAAGUGGUCGCUGCAAAUGGGUCUGCUCACUUGCAUAGGCUUACUUCAGAAGGGCGCACUUUCAAAACGGCCUGAGGCUUUUCCAAGGUUGGGUUCCUGAUGUCUCCAAACGUGUCCACACUGUGUUUAUCCUGCCUCUCACACUUCUUCCUCAUCCUUUGGGAGGCUCUCUUCUCUUUUUAGCCUGAAACCCCAGCUUGACAGAAUCCAGAAAGGUGUUUUCCAUAUCUGCCUGCUCUCCAGGCAUUCUAAACAAUUCCAGCUGAC
Cavia porcellus (domestic guinea pig) is the source of this 1584-nucleotide long non-coding RNA. NCBI's taxonomy places the organism in Eukaryota, Metazoa, Chordata, Mammalia, Rodentia, Caviidae. The record is from Ensembl.